Long non-coding RNA from Triticum dicoccoides, 405 nucleotides. RefSeq lists it as uncharacterized. The record is from RefSeq and is a predicted model, not a curated record. The transcript is spliced from 2 exons. NCBI's taxonomy places the organism in Eukaryota, Viridiplantae, Streptophyta, Magnoliopsida, Poales, Poaceae.
UUGUUGACUGUGCAGUCUAAAAAACACACUGUCUUUUCUUUUCGUGUGUAACAGCCAAGAUGAUCUGCUUUACACUUACAAUUCGUGUUGACUAAAUCCGAGCAAGUCUCCUUCCAGUUCCACCAUAAGUAACACACUGCAGGAGCUCCAGGUCUACAAAAUGAAGUUCGAAACCAUAUAGCUCUACUCAGCAAAGAGUCGUCUCUUCUAUUUGAUUGUAAUAGAAUGUAAAUAUUGUAAUAGUAGGCAUAUCUGGGUUGUAAUAACUAUGUACAGAUUGUAGUAGACUUAGUUAGUUUUAUUUGAUGAACUACAUUUGUACUGUUCUGUUUGAAAUAUUGAUUAUGUACGUGAUUUGAAAACGUGUGGAAUGGAAACCUAACUUGUGGGAUUCACUUAUGAAAA